GAGGCUGCGCGGGCGGCCGCGGCCUCCUGCGCCCCGGCCCGCGCAUGCGCCCCGGGGCCUGCCCCGCGCGGGCGUCGCGGCGGCACCAGCCGCAGCCCCGGCGCCGCCCGGACCCCAAAGCUGCUCGGCCGUACGCUAGGGUGCGAAAAGAAAAAAGAAAAAAAAAAGCAAAACUGUUUGUUGUACGCCUUUGGGAGGCAGCCCCGCCUUUGUUCCUGGCCGAUUCGGCGGUUUCCCGGCGCUGGAAGCGGGAGCCGAGGCGGCAGGGACGCAUCACUGAGCGUCCCCGAUGUUUUCUGAGCGCUGGGCGCCGAGGGGAGCCCGGGCCUGCCUGCCGCCCUCUCUGAGCCUGACCUCCCCGUGGGGGUGGGGGACUUCUCCCAGGAGGAAAUGAAGACACAGUUAGAAGCUGAGAGCAGUUGCUACAGUGAAGAGAAGACCCCACCUCUGCCCAAGGACAGUAGCUGGUGCCGAGAACCAGGGCUUCAGAACCAGAGUGUCCCGGUGAUGAAUCCCAGCUGGGGGCCCCCUGAAGCUUGAGCACCUGGAUGAUAGGGACAAUGCAAUGCCCACCUCCCACGUUGUGAUCAUUCCUCGAAGUGAUGUAUCAAAGCUCUUAGCAGCAGCUGGCAUGGAGUGAGAAGACAGGGCCUCAGACGGGUGAAGCCACUUGCGGAGGAUCACAAGGCUGGAAGGUGGCACAGAACACAAGGAUACCGGGAGAGAGGACAUCUUGGGGGCUCUGAGACUGGACUGUGCAGACCCACCUCAGCCAAGCUUUCUAGACGACCUCCCCUCCCGGCCGACGUGUACAAAGAAGGGGGUGCCCUGUGUUCUCCCCUGCGAUUCUAAAAUUUCAAGUAGGGUGAGGAAGCUCCUAAUCAACCCACUGCCACCCUAGUCCCUGGGAUCUGCCCUCGACACCCGUAAUGUCCCCAGUUGAGACCCAGGUCCAGUCCAGCUGGCCCAGAUGGUAAACAACAAGCUGAGAUGGGGUCAGGGGCAGAGUGCUGGGCCAGGAGGCAGGGUCAGGUCCUGACUGUGUCACGCGGUGUGUGGCCCCGGGAACAUGACCUCCCAGAGUGGUCCUUCAGCUCGGCUGAAAUGCUUUGGAGGCCGCGGGAGACCUCAGCCACUGGGACAUUACUCUUAUUGUUAUUGUCACGUUGUUACUACAGAGGAAGCAGGUUUAGAGUGACUGGCUUUGGCCGGUGCUGUUCAUUCAGUGGCUACCAUUUGCUCCUUCCCUCACUCAGCAAAUGUUUAUUCCUGUGACCUGCACCGUGUGCUGGGCCCCUGGCCAGGGACAAGAUCAGACUAGAUCUGAAGUCUGGGGAGAGUGGUGAACAGGUGUCACCUCGAUCACCAGCUCUCAGUGGGUGAAAGCCGUAUUGAGAAGCGUGUGUUGAGAAGGAUUCCGAGGCUGCAUCUGGGCUGAGAGAGUGCUGUGAUCAAUUAGUAAUGUCUGCCACGAACACAGGAAGGGGAGCAUCAGCCAAGGCUUUUGCCAGUCUUAACACGGAAGAACAGGAAGGACCUCAGACAGGAGACCCUCGUGACCGUGGCUGGCCUGCUACAUGGACUUGGCUGGCUGCCCCCCAGGAGAGGAGAAGACCCAUAGACCUUGGUUUUGACCUUGAGGAAAUGGAAAAACUUGGACCUUAAAGACAGCAGAUUACCGUGGCUAAGCUGUGGGCAGGCUGUGUGACCUCGGGCAUGUUCUCUAACCUCUCUGAGCCUCAUGCCCUGCUGAGGAUUCCAUGAGAUCACAAUUGUACCGUGCCGAGUAGACCUCCUGGCCUGCACCAAACUCUCAAGGAGCUUUCUUAUGACGAGGGAGCAGGUGAGCCUCCCCUCGAACAAACACAACCGACGAACUGUGUUCUCAUGUGGACAUGGCAAUGGCCCUUCCCUUUUUAAGCUGUGGUGAAAUCCUCCAUGUUGUAAAAGGAACCCUUGCAGGCUUAUCUGGGUACAGGUGAGGAGACCAGGGGAACAUCCUGCUCUGCUCCUAGAAGCUGUGACCACGGGAGAGGGACUUGGGGCUCUGGGCCUCAGCUUGCUCAUCUGCAAAGUGGGGACACUGGCCCUUCCCCUCCCAGGGCCGCUGUGGGGCUCAGUGAAAGAACUUAAGGGCACAGGACCUGGUGACCACAAGCCUGGAACCCCAUCUUUUUCACAAACUAAGGAUGCCUGUUAUGGAGAAAGUGCUCGCUUUUUGAUUGUAGGGUUGGCCCAGGAGACUUGGUUUCUGUCCUAGGCUUCCUGGGAGAAAUACAGUCUAGAGCUCCGGGGUUGAGCGAGCCUGGUUCCUUGGACCGGGAAGCCCUGCCCAGCAGCCCCUCCUGCCACAGCCUGGUCACUAAUCACCACUGGGCCUGGCUUCCUCCCCACCCCCUGGAAGUGCGUGAUCUGUGGCUCCUCCCACCCCCUCCCUGCAGGCGCUGCCUGGCUGCCCUUUUCUGAGGGGCUGGAGGGGGGCUGGGGGUGCACAUUUUCCAGGCUCUUGUUCCCUGGCAGCUCCGAAAAUUAAUUGGCCUUUAAUGUGGAAUAGUAUUUAUUUUAAUUAGCAGGAAAUUGACUAAUUUCUUAAUAAGGGGCUUUAUGGAAGCUCCGCAUUUGGGCUGGGUGGUCCGUAUGAGUUGGGGGGAUUUGUUUGAGCGGGACUAGUGAGAGCCUGCUGGUGAGGAGCCCCCUGCCUGUGGGUUCAGUCAGGAGGUGGUGAGAGGAGAGGACUCUGGUCCAGGGGACCCACAGAAGCCCAGGUGACUUGGCUACAGGCCUGUCAGGGGUCUGACAGCCUUGAAUUCUCCCUUUGAUUUUGGUUUAUUGGGGUCCUGGGAAUAGAUCACUGAUCCCCAGGUAUGGCUGUGCCUCUUGGCUUUCACAACACCCGCUCCCCAUUUGAGGAACUGACAGAGUAAAUCAGCAGGGAUUUCUUAAAGGACCUUUUCUUUGGUCUGACGGCAUCACUGAGGUCCCCCUAGCCUGUGUGGCACCCUGGUCAUGAUACCCCACUUUACAAAUGUGGGAGCGGAGACUGAGAGGGGCGCUGUGUUUUGCCUCAGCCUCCCAGAUAGUCCCCACUCACCCCCACCGCUACCCCGUGAUGGCCCCGCGGGAGGCUGCCCUGACCUCCCUGGAGCUCGGGGGCCCCAUCCAGCUCUGAAGCACCCUGCACCUUUCCUUCGGGGCCUAUUGGCAGUGACAAUGACCGUGUCCAGUGUGCUACCUGGACUGUCAGUCCCCUGAGGGCAGGUACUGAGUCUGUGUGCUCAGCUUCAUACCCCAAAGCAGGCACGGGGUAGGUGCCCAUUGUGUGUUAAGGGGAAUGAUGGAGUCAGAACCGAAAACAACCAGCCAUGCCACCUAGUCAAGAACUGUGGCCGCCCCUCUGCGUUGCAGUGUCCUCAUGACUUUAUACCUCAAAGUCCUGAUGGGGGGGACUCGCCCUCUCACCCUGACUGCCUAACUCACCCUCAGGGAGUGACCUUCCCCCCUUCUCAUUUCCUAGGGGUCUGACUCAGGAGCACGCGUGCACACCCGGCCCAUUUGGGUAAAGGGGAGGAGGAGGCUUAUUCCCUCACCAGCCUGGAUCCAGAAGGGGCUGGGCUGGGUGGUCUCCCAGCGGCUCAGCCUCUGAGCACCAGGGGGGCCGAGCUGCCCACUGCUGUCAGAUCUGGUGGCCUCGCUGAAGGGCUCUCUAGGGAUCUGCUCCAGCCACUAGCUGGGGAGAAUGAAGCCAUGACCUCCCUGUCCCCUCCCAGGAAAUCCAUCCCCAUGUCUCCUACUGGCCCAGGCCCCACUGAGCUGCUCAGUCCAGAGACAUCCCUGGGUUCCUCAGCCCCUCUGCCUGGACUCGGACCCACGAGGUUCCCCACUGAUUUCUUUAAACCCAUUUACACAGUGCCUUCUCUGAACCAGGAAUUGUUCUAAGUACGUUAGAGAUAUUUAUCCUCAGUAUGAAGUAGGUGCCAUCGUGUCCCCAUUUUACAGACAGGGAAACUGAGGCACAGAGGACACGUGACCGACCCACUUCCCCUCAGGCUCUCGCUGCCGCCUUCUGGGGUGAUGAAGUUAGUUUCUGCAGGCUUCUUGGGUGUCUUCUGUGUCCCACUCGCCAGGCUGCAUCCAGCCCGCGCGCCUUUGUGCGCACAGGUUCCCUCCCCCACCCCGCCUGAUGCUGGCAGGAGGGAUGGCGGGGGCAGACGGUGGCACAGCGGUCCCUGGCACGCUAGAGGCAGCAAGCACGGGGCCCCUGGCACCCGCCACACCUGGCCUUGAUUUGGAUCGGCCGCGUGCAGCUGUGUGGUCCUGGGCACAUGACUUCACAUCUCUUCACCAGCCUCCUGAGAAUGGGGAGCAAAGCUAUUGUUCCAAAGGUUGUAACAAGAAAUAAACAAGCAGACCUGUGUCAAGGGCCCAGCAUGGUGGCCAGGAGCAAUUUGGGAUGAAUAAAGUUCAUAUUCUCUCCUUCUCCUCCCCAACUUGUCCUUCGAAGCUCAGUUUUCCCAGAAGCCUUUGCCCCCUUUCCAAGGCAGAGUCCCCAGUGACAGGUGUCCCCAGAGCAAUUUCUGUCUGUGUCACUCAGCCUGGUGCCUGGUCAUGUGCACUCUGGCCCCUGGGCCCUCGGCGCCCCGGGGGCAGAGGGGAGCCCAGGCCAGAGGAAGGCAGGGACUCUGCUGGGAAUAGAGCCGGCAUUCUGCGCUCAUUCACUGGUGAGAAUUGAGCACACUAAAGCACCUACUGUGUGCCAGACACUGAGAAUGAGACAGCCUCCAGGAACGCCCCCCAUGGGGCUGGGGGAGAGGCAGACAAGGGAACUGGCCACCUAGACUCGGGGGUCAUCGGGGCUGGGAUCAGCGGAGGUGGGGGGCUGACCCAGCUGGAGAGUCAGGAGGCUUCGGGAAGAAGUGACAUCCAAACUGAGGCUGGUGGCUGGAGGGAGGCAUGUGAGUGGGGUGCAUUCCAGGCAGAGGGGGUGUGAGGCAAGCGUGGCCCUCAGGAGACGAUGUGGGUCAUGGUCAUGGUCAUGAGUCCCUCUGGGUGCCGGUGCUGACAAAGGUGAACAAAAAAAGCUGGUCCUUGAUGCUCCCCCACCCCAUUACAUCCCAGUGCUGGAUGGAGAAGAGCAAACAUCAACCAAGUAAUCAAAUAAAUAAACGAGAUCAUCACAGAGAGGAAGAGUGAGUGAAGCCACUGAACUGGGGAGGUGGGGAGAGGAAGAUACAGUGGCAGCCCGGAGCUGGGACUUUCUCCCAGGGUUGGUGGGAGCCGCGGAGGCUGGAGCAGAGAGCUGCAUGAAUGGAGAGCCUUUUCCACGACUCCUAGCGCCAGAUGCAGUAGGAGGAAAGACCCAAGGCAGGGCUGAUGGAGUAUCCAGGCAAGGGAUGGUGGCUUGGGUCAGGCUGGCGGCCAUGAGACUGAGAGAAGAGAAGAGGGUGGAUCUGAGAAUGCUCUAGGAGGUGAAGGGACAGGUGUGAGGAUUAUAGCUGGGAGGGUUGGGGAUGAGGCUGACCCCGGAUUUCUAGACCAGGCCUUGGGGUGACAACGAUGCCAUUUGCUGGCAUGGAGAGCCUAGGGACAUUGAUGAGCUCAGCUUGAGCUUGUCCAGGAUCAGGUGCAGGAGACAAUCUUCGAGGGAAGCAUCCAAGACCAGGGCGGAGGCGGAGCCUGCAGCCGUGGGGGUGGUUGGGGGAGCAGCCCGAGGGUCCUGCCAGAUUCUGCCUUUCUCAAAGGAAAAUUUAUGUCAUUCAUCCCUUCUAGUGUUUCUGACUCAUCCCAGAGCGUCUGCAACAUAAAACAUUCUAGAAUCUUGAAGACUUUUCCUCUGGGUUUUCCGAGUCCUUCAAAGUGCCCUUCCUUGCUCACACAUUCCUUCCAUUGGGACGCAUGGGUCAAAGGCUCCGAUUCAGGAAGGAGAGAGGCUGUUUUCUCCUGAUCCAGUUGGAAGCAAUGCUUGGGCCCGAGGACAGCUUGUCAGCCCCUCCCAGGCAGGCUGAUAAAUGCCGACCGAGCCCCCCUGCACCAGAGCUGCCUUAAUUGGUAUCAGGACGUGUCUGGACUCCAUCCUCCCGGCCCCUGCCUUCCUCCCCUCCUGCUGCAGCCUCCAGCCCGCAGUCCUCCACCCCCAACAGGGCUCGCCUGCUGCCACAGCCCCAGGAGGAGGGUGUGAGGCCAGUAACAGCAUUUAUGUGGCACCUACUGUGUGCCCAGCCUGUGCUGACAAACCCUCUGGCCGCCCUCAUGCAGCCCUGCGAGCUGGGGCUCACUCUCCUUCCUGUCUGCACCCGCAGGACCUGUUUCUCGAGCCCUCUGCGUGCCUGCCCACCCCCCACCCCGAGGCUGGGUGUUGGGGACCCACAACAGGUGAGAUAGACAAGGAUGCCUGCCCCCAGUGAGGAAGGGGCUUAUUCCCGGACAACUGGCCUGGUAGGGCUUGCCCAUUUUAGGACGUUCAGAGAGGUUCGGCAACCUGCCCAAGAUCACACAGCUAGAAAAGGAGGCAGAGAGAGGCAGGUUGCCUUCAAAACAAUCAAUCACAUGACUAGGUCAUGAUCUCGGGGUCCUGGGAUGGGGCCCCACAUGGAGCUCCCUGCUCAGCAGGGAGCCUGCUUCUCCCUCUCCCUCUGCUGCUCCCCCUGCUU
Mirounga angustirostris (Northern elephant seal) is the source of this 6647-nucleotide long non-coding RNA. RefSeq lists it as uncharacterized. NCBI's taxonomy places the organism in Eukaryota, Metazoa, Chordata, Mammalia, Carnivora, Phocidae. The record is from RefSeq and is a predicted model, not a curated record. The transcript has 6 exons.